AUUGAACGCUGGCGGCAGGCCUAACACAUGCAAGUCGAGCGAGCGGCGGACUGGUGCGUAAUUUCUGGGUAUCUUCCCGAUAGAGGGGGCUAACUACUGGAAACGGUGGCUAAUCCCGCAUACUAUCUGCUGAACCCAUAUGGUAUUAGCGAGUAGGUGGUGUAAAGGCUCACCUAGGCGACGAUUUCUAGCUGGUCUGCGAGGAGGAUCAGCCACACUGGGACGGAGACACGGACCAUACUCCUAUGGGAGGCAGCAGUGGGAAAUAGUGCACAAUGGGCGCAAGCAUGAUGCAGCCAGGCCGCGUGUAUGAAGAAUGCGUUAGGGGUGGAAAGUACUUUCAGCGGGGAGGCGUUACCCGCAGAAGAAGCACCGGCUAACUCCGUGCCAGCAGCCGCGGUAAUAC
This 406-nucleotide ribosomal RNA is filed under the name uncultured bacterium. RNAcentral describes it as "partial 16S ribosomal RNA". It matches the Rfam family "Bacterial small subunit ribosomal RNA", at positions 30 to 526 of the family's 1533-position model. The record is from RNAcentral.